RNAcentral lists this ribosomal RNA (474 nucleotides) under Triticum aestivum (bread wheat). RNAcentral's name for it is "partial small subunit ribosomal RNA". The record is from RNAcentral. Lineage: Eukaryota; Viridiplantae; Streptophyta; Magnoliopsida; Poales; Poaceae.
AUGCAUCCGGAGUUGAAGGCCUACUUGGAUGAUUACCACGCGCGGACCAUGGCGCGCUACGACACCGUGGACAAGCAGCACGAGCUGAUGUGGAAGAUCCUCACGAGCGACCCGACCCUGCAGCCGGCGUGCCCCAUGGGAACGGCAACCGAUGGCAGCCUCACCGACGACGCCAGUGUCCUGGCGGUCGUCCCCGACAUCUUCUCCGCCACCACCCAGGCCCAGGAGCCCCUUGCAGGCUCCCAUGAUGCACCCUCGGUCUGCAUCAAGAGGGUGCCCGUUACCUGUUUGACGGAGUGCCUGGCCCAGGUCGCCUCCAUCGCCAGCGUCGACGAGGUCCACGAUGCCACCACAGCUGCCAACCCCGAGCCCGUGGACGACCUCAUCCACCACGAGGUCGCCUCCGAGAUCGUCACCCCAGUGGCAACCACCACCGCGGUUGACCCCAAGACCAGCAUGAAGGUGUUAGGUUGA